AUCUCCUGGGGGCUUGUUAAAAUGUAGGUUCUGAUUUAGUAGUUCUAUGAAGGGGCCUGAGAUCCUGCAUUUUUAGCAAAUUCCCAGGUGGUGUCAA
Molecule: microRNA precursor, 97 nt
Filed under: Sus scrofa (pig)
Lineage: Eukaryota; Metazoa; Chordata; Mammalia; Artiodactyla; Suidae
Description: mir-544 microRNA precursor family
Rfam family: mir-544 microRNA precursor family
Source: Rfam by way of RNAcentral